CUCAGCGGAAAAAGGAAAGAACUCUUUAUGAUUAUAUUAUUAUUAUUAUUAUUACAAUUUCAUGUGUUUGAACAUGAAAUAUUCAGCUUGAGUUUUUAUACUUUAAUCAUUCAUUCAAGACACUUGAGGUUUCAUCCAGAUGUCAUUUUAUUGUCCAUGCGUGCUAUGAACUAUUUUGCUACAUUUGAUGCGGCCAAACAAUGACAGAACUGGCAAAAUAAAACCGCACACUUUUCUGAUCGUUGACACUGUAACAUCAUAAAUAAAAUCUGCUCUAUUAAUGACACAAAAUAACUUACAUUUUGCUUAUAAAUAACUCAGCAAUUAAAUUAAAGAAAUAAAUAACUGUAAGAUACUAAAUAUUAGGCUCAAGUAAGCGUGUGCUUCAAUCUUCAUGCUAGCAAAAAAGUGCUCAUUUUCUUAAUGGAGUUUUGAGUGGCGUCAAGGUGACGCGGAGGAAGGAGAGGGGGACACUGGGGGAGCGAAUGAGGACACGAAGGGAGUGUAUGAAGACGCUGUGGAAGGCGUGGAGGUGAGGAUGGAGAGCAGCGUGGUUUUGGGCGGCGAGCCGGUGCUCAGCCUCUGAGCGUUGGCUUUCCUGCGAGAGCGAGAGAUUGAGGAGUUAGCCUGAGGUUGAAUGUGGGUCAUGAUGAUGAUGAUGAUGAUGAUGAUGAUGGGAAACUCACUCAAUUGCCGCUGCCUUCUCUCGGACCCACGGGGCGCGGAUGUGAACGCAGUAAUAACCGCUUUUGGUAUAGAAGCUGGAGGACAAACGACGUUUAGCAUCGUUAGCUUCUUCCCAAAUGGUGCAUUUACAUCAUUUUUGCAACUUUUGCUUUUAAAGGCGUGUUUCGGUGUCAUUAAGUUGUGUUUUCUUGUCAGCUACCGGUAGCAUGCAUGGGCCAGUCGGCCCUGUAAUACCAUUCAGUACCACAGGUGGUGACAGUGAGUCAGACAGCGUCCACACAACUAAACAGGCUAUCUUUAAAUUGUCUAUCAUAACAAUGCAAACUGUUUGAAGCAUUUUACAAAAUGUUAAUAUACUAUAUGGAACAACCUACAACCACAAUAAUGUUAAAUUAGCUCAUUUUGUCAGAUUAGCAACUUUUUCAAUGCCAGGAAGUCUUGAACUACACACUUUGCAGAUUUUUCAGUUUGUCUUAGCGUCAAUUUUUUGAAAGCUGAAUUUGUACUCACAUGACAGCGGGCACACAUGGUUUGACAGGUUUCCUGAUACUGUACCCCAACACUUCCUCCGUUAUCUCCUCGGUGCCGACCUUAGUGCAGCAUUCAUGGGGCUUGAUUACUGGACAGAGAAAGAACCCAAAGAAGAGUUUAGUGUGCUGGUUGAAGCUUUGAAGCGCAGAAGAACAGAAGCCGGACGUCUUCAACUUACCUCCUUGUCCACAUUUGACCAGAUUCACCAGCAUGGCCACCACCAGCACACUCUUCUGCAGACUGACAACCUUCAGCAUUUUUAAAGCAAGGGUGAUGGAUAAGACAGAAAGAAAGACAGAAAAUGCCAAAAGCUGAGCUUGUCUCCCUUGAGUCUUCAGAGAGGUGUGUGUGAAGUGACAAGGCUCGGAGGGACGCAUUUAAAGUGUCAAAAAGCAGAAGUCGCCUUCCAGUUAGUCAUCCCUCAUUUUCUCUUUCCGUCCUCUCCUCUCGGUUAUUCCGAAUGUGUGACACGCUCGUUUGCUGGGAAAUAUUAAAAGUGAUCAACCUCUGGGAGGCCGGAAGCUGGGGUCAAAUGUCUUUUUUUUAACUUCAUUAAUCAACGCGCUGAUGAGUAAAAGAAUGAAUGAAAACACCCAACUUCAUCUUGUCAUAUCAAAUGUAUUUAGUAGCAUUUUUGUUGUUUAAAAACUUGUUUUAAUGCCAUUACGUUUUGACGUAAGGGAAGGGAAGGAAAGUCCUUUCCCGCAAUACCACUUGGUACCACAGGUACACAGGUAGGCGAGUGACAAAAUCCACAAUUGAUACACAGUAAUCCCUCGUUCAUCGUGGUUAAUUGGUCCCAAACCCAAUCAUAAGUGAAUUUCUGUAAAAUAGGAUUCCUUAUUUACAAAUGGAAUAUUUUUGUAGUGAGAGCAUAGAAAACCUGUUUAUGACCUGUUUUUAACAUUAGAGCCCUGUAGACAUGAAAUAACACUCUAUAGUCACCUUUACACCCGUAUGACCCAAUGUAGUAGACAUAAUGAGAGUAAAUAAGCCAUUCAAACCAUAAGUAAGAUGUGUGUGUGUGUUGCUGUAAAUAUGUUCCAGUACUAGGGGAGCUGAGAAGGUGCCAGACAGGAAGUGACAUUGAGGUUCAGAGUUGAGUUUCAGCUUGGCGUGGGUUAUGGUCACAACAGUAAACCGUGAUUGUAUUAGGGAUUUUUGUGCCUGCGAUGAGAUCAUUCAAACAUACAAUCAAACCCUGUUGUUCCGGUGAUCAAAUCUGGUGCUUGUGUGUCUCACCGAACAUUACAGUUACAUGCCCAGUGUAGAAUACUACUCGUCAUAACGUCUUUGAAUGCGUUUUCUGAAGCCCUUAUAUUUGUAUUUUAGUUUAGCCAUUUUUAUGCUUCAAAAGAGGCAAAAAAUAUGUCACGUUUGCUUAAAUAUGCUUUUUUUAUGAUUUAUUUUUUAUUUAUUUGUUUAUUUAUUUGACAAAAUGAUUUAUUAGUUACAGUAUAUACUGUAUAUUUGAAAGAGUGACGGCGUGAAAUUCGAAGCACAAAGUGGCGAGGGACUACUGUAAAUACAUUCUAUUAAAAUGACAUACUAUAUGAAACGCUACUCAGUGGAGCCCACAGCUAGCUCGUGUCUCAUUCUAACUCCCGCAAUCAAUGUACAGGGAACAAUCUGUCCAUAGUACCAGUCAAAAGUUUGGAGACAAUUUCCCAUGUUAUGGAAUGAAAAGGUGUGUCCAAACUUAUGACUGGUACUGUACUUUUAAUUGAUUUUAGCACAGUCUAUUUACUUUAUCCACUAAUCCAACACAUCUAACUUUUUUUUUUUUUUAAAGAUGGAUUUUUGACAUUUGAACUCGCCACGAAUAACACAUUUUUAAAUUGAAUUUGUUGUCAAUCUAAAGCAAGCAAAAUCUAAGAGUUUUGUAGGAAGUCAGGCAUGAAGUAAAUAGACUAUAAAGUAUUAAUAAAAAUAUAUUCAUAUUCUGUUAAACCAAACAUGCCUUGCACUACAUUAUCUGUAAUACAUGACAAAAUAGACAAAAAUGUCUCAUGUUCACAGGCAUAUUGUGAAAGCUGAUAAUGUGAGUGUAUCACUGCCUUUUUAAAAAAAACUUAUUAUUCACUUCAUGACAUGUCUUGACAUGAGUCGCAUGGAAAGAAUGUGUCAUUAGCCACUUGCAGAGGAUGUCUGACAUCAACAGGUGUGGUGUAAUGUAGCGUAGUGUAGCAUAGUUUAGUGUGGCGUAUCAAGCAACUACUACAACAAUAACUUCAUUAUUUGUAAAACCUCUUGUCAACACAGGGAUGCUGACAAUCGCAAACAUCCUACGGUCCAGUGUGGUAAAAGUUAGACUGUUCCAACAUGUCUUGUCGACACACACAAACGAGUCACUUCCGUGAUUCCUUCUGGCGCGUGUUCUCCAAACUCUCACACACUAAAGCGUAAAAAGAGGAAGGAUGUGUGCCACUCAUCGUCGUCAUCACUAGUGUGUGUGUGUGUGUGUGUGUGUGUGUGUGUGUGUGUAUAUGUCAGCUUGCACUAAAAAAGCCUUCGUCACUGAAAACAUGCUGAUUCAGACUUUGUGAUUUAGGUUUGAAACCUCAUCAAACCUCACCAUUAAAUGCUCAGAUUCAUAACAAGUCAUUCUUUUGUAGCCUUUUUGUCACACCUUUUGUGUGUCAUUUUUUGGAAUACAUUUUUUAUUUUUUUUUAGUAAUCAUGGCAACACAUUAUAAACCAAAAAAAAAUUCCAGGUAGGUAAAAAAUCAGUUCAGACAAAAGUUUGGAUACAUUCUUAUGUGAUUGAAUGAGAAGGUUGCCCGAUCUUUGUAUUUGCUAAUAACACUUACAAACAAAAACAAGUCGGUAGAGUACGAGAAUACUGAGUUAAAAGUGAAUCAUUGAGCCGUUUUGUCGGUCGUCGUAAAUGUUCACUACGUUUAUUUCACUUUGUAUGGCUCCCCCUGCGGGCCUCUUAUGUAAAUGACCAAUACGGCAACAACCGUGUCACGUGACAUUCGCUUGUGGCCUGUCUUUUAAAGUCCUCGCUCUCCUCUGUCGCCAUCCAGCGGAUCAAAGUAGUACUACAACCAGGGACCACUAAAGCAAAAUCAAUGCCUUCAACUUUUUGUGUAUGAGAGCAUUUAUUUUUGUAACCGAUGACCUUACAAUUUCCAAGAUGUAAAAACAGCAUACAAAAAUAACUUUUAUAAAUAUUUAUGUAAAAGAUAAAUGGAAAUAGGAAAUCUCAGAUGGGUAUGGUUCACUGGGUCAUCAGUAUGGACAGGUCUGGAGGACAGUGCAGCUUGUUCUAAAUGGAAGAGAAACACAAUCAGACAAAUAUGAACAGAUAUAGAGUCCUAAGAGCAGAGUUUUGCUGCUUUGAGGAAGUCAGAAAAGCACGUUUGUCUGCAGUGGAUUUAAGGGCCUGUGGGAAAGUUGCUAUUCUUUUGCGCUGUUAACAUUCCAUCUUGUCUGGUAACACUUGAAAUGUCACAAACACUUUCAGCAGCUUGCUGCACUUCAAAUAUAUAAACUCCUUUAACUCUUAGCAGUUUAUUCUACCAGCAGGGACACCUACAUCCCAGAUCAGGGCUUUCCAAUGAAAUUAAAAUUUUUCUGCUGUUGAAACGGGCAUGCCAGUGUGAUGUUAUUCAGGGGCCGGAUUUGGCUUGCAGGCCCCAAAUGUUUAGGUCUUGGUGGAGGUCCUUACCUUGUCCAUCUUGUCUUUGAGCCACUUGGCUGCAGGACUGAUGCACCACUGCUUGCCACUCUUGGUUACAAUGCUGCAAACACUACAAUUAAUGAUUUAGCCCCACACCGACAAGCAGGCAGGCCUAUGUUUAAUAAUAUGCUUACAGGAAGGCGUGCUGGUUGCAGUCCUCUCGUGGUUUUUGUUCAAAACACCGCUUGAUUCUCAACACCCUCUUGGAGGAGACACUGCGGCAGCAAGACAGACGCACAUCUGGAACCUGCAAGGCUGAGGAGCAACAUCCAACGGCUGACGUAAAGAAGAGUGGACCACAUCUUCACCAAGAAGGACUGAUGGAAGCCAGACCUGAGAUGUCCUUAAGUACAGUGACCAGACACGUAAAAAUAGAAAACAUUUGCACCAAGCACAUGUGUCUGUAAUGGAAAAUAUUGACAAGAUGGAGGAAGGAGGCUCGGAAGUAGGCAUCACUAUGCCUAUAUAAGUCGACAAGUUUAUUUAUUGUAUUUGUAGCAAAGGGGAAUUACAGGCUUGCUAAGAAUAAACCUCAUGCAAACCCACCAACUAUUAUUAGUUAUGAUCAUGAAAUACAGUGGAGCAAGAAACUGCUAAAAAAAAAAAAAAAAAAAGGAACUAUUUAAGGAAGGAAGCUGCAUCCAAAAGUAAGUGUCCUCCAAUCAGUACCAUCGAAAAUAUCCAGUAUAUGACACACAACAUUAAAAUGAAUUUGUAAUAAUGGAAAGUUUACAAAGCAUCUUUCAAAUUAAUUACGUGGGCUUUUUCCAAUUUAAUUACAUGAGCUUCAUUAUGACGGUCGUUGUUUUCAAUAUGUCACAGAAGUCAUCGCGAGAUUUGGACAACAGCGCCCCAAUGUGGACGUAUACGGGAUAGGCGACGGGCGGUAUGAGGAGUACGCCGCUGCUAGCUGUAGCAUCGAACACAAACAAGGAACACAAACAAGGACUAAACCCACUUUCCUUCACCACUGGCUCCACCAAAAGCUCCAAAAGAACUUUGUUUUAGGUUCAAUCUCCCUUUAGUUUGCCUCUAUCGUGCUGUAAGGAGCAGCGGGAAGAGGAGAGGCCCGCUAACCACCAGAAGAGGCCUGCGGCCUGCUCCUUGUGUGCCCGCUUUCCGGUGUAGCUCAAGUAGCUAGCGCUCUCACUCGAGACCGAGGCUUCUGGUGCUGUGCGGUUUUCUGUACCAACCGAGCCAGGGGAGUUCUGAAAUUUUUCACUUCUUCACUUUGACUUUUUCCGGUCGCGUUCGGUGCUCUUGGGUGGUGCAGUGCAAGCCUUUCUGGUCGAAAGAACGGUUCUGGCGGCGGAGCGGCCUCCUGGUUUGUUUUGGGCCGCCAUGAAUCUUCAGUGAACAAUAACAAGAACCGCGACGAACCGCUAGGCGGUCCACAAGAGAGGGACGCCUGCCGGUGUCGGGCCCGCUACCGAGCCCUUAUUAUCAUAACGCCAACACGGCAGGGACUUUUGACUAUGGAAGUAUCGCUGGGCAACCGGAGCAAAUCGGGUCAUUUUCACACCACAGAGCCCGGGCAGCCGUUGCUGUAGAGCUGCUGUGUGACAUUCAGGCUCCGCUCGACACACGAUGCUCCGACGAACCUCAGCCCGAUUGAAGAACAGGAGGCCCCGCUUGUGAACUCUCUCGGCACCGAGGAUGGACUGGAUGGGACUAAACUGCACCAAGGAAGUGUGAUUUUUUUUUGGGGGGGGGGACCAGAUGUUGUCUUCAAAGCCCCCGGAGUCAAUUUUCUUAUCUGUUGUGUUCGUGUGACACAUUUGCUGCUUUUACUUGUUUGAGACAUCGGAACCGAUCGGACCGGGGUCCCGGGCUAGGCCGAGGAGAUGAACCCGGUAAACGCUACGUCGCUGUUCGUGUCGGCGAGCCGCUCCGUGCUGCAAUGCGACCCCGGAGACCCCCGAGCCCUGUCCGAGCUUUGCAGGCUGCUGCCCUUCUUCAGGCAGUCCUUGUCCUGCCUGGUGUGCGGCAAUCUGCUGCAGGACCCCAUCGCACCCACCGACUCGUCAUGUCAGCAUUACGUGUGUCGUGCCUGCAAAGGUCAGAGGAUGCAGCUCAAGCCGUCCUGCAGCUGGUGUAAGGACUACUCCCGCUUCCAGGAGAACCGGCAGCUCUCACUGCUGGUCCGCUGCUAUAGGAAGCUCUGCCUCUACAUCACGCAGUCGCCGCUGGCCCCGCACAUUGCCAGCGCCGCCGGUGACUCGCCGGACCUGCAGGCCGUCCUCAACGAAGGCCUCAAGUUGGCCGAGAGUGAGGACCAGGAUACUGGGAACUCAUCUCAGACCGCUUCCAUGUCACAGGACGUGCAGCCCGACAAAGUCCCGCCCCCUGGCGAGGUGAAAGGUGACGACGUGAGCCUGAACGGGCUGCAUGAUUGUAACGGGUUGGUUGCCUCGCUGCCACCCGCCACGCUAGAGACAACUCGAGGCGUCGUCAAGCAGGAGAGCUUUUCCGAGGCGCUCCCGGUUUGCGUCAGUGUCACGGCGGCAGGAGAGGCGGGCCUUUGUGACAUCAGCACUUUUGGGGAGGACUUGAAACACGCAGGGGGUCCGCUGUUGUUGAGUGUUGAGGAGGUGCUUCGGACCUUGGAGACAGAUGCUGACCCCUCCCCUGAACCCACCCACCAGCUAGAUGACCCCCUUAUACCUCUUUCUAACCUCAAUGGUCCUUGCUGUCCUCCUGACCUUUGCCCCAUUCCCCUAGAAAACAGCCGCCACCUCCUCCAGUCCCCCACUGUUGCCCCCUGUUCCCCCCCUCGCUGCCACCGUAAACGCUCUCGCUCAGAGAGUGACAGCGAGAAGGUGCAGCCCCUUCCCAUCUCCAGCCUCCUCCGGGGGCCUCCUCCCAACAGUGCCCCCCUCCACCCCAACCUCAGUGCCCCCAUCAAACCAGAAUCCAAGUUCCCGGCUGCUGCGCCCCACCACCUGGCACCAGUGCCUAACGGCGGCCCCCCCAAGGUGGGCAAGACUGUGCUCGUGAAGCCGCUGAAAAAGACUGCAGAGCACCACGGGGUCCCCAAGAAGGCUCAUGCCAAGGCCAGGCAAGGUGCCCCCAAACCCCGGUCACAGCCCCGGGUACCCCCACACCCCCAUGCUCACCCUCUUACUCACCCAUCCAGCCCCUCCAAGCCGCUAUACAAGAAGCCCGUGGAGAAGAAAGGCUGCAAAUGCGGUCGAGCGACCCAGAACCCAUCAGUGCUGACCUGCAGGGGGCAGCGUUGUCCAUGCUACUCCAACCGCAAGGCGUGUCAAGACUGCAUUUGCCGCGGCUGCCAGAACUCGUACAUGGCCAACGGCGAGAAGAAGCUGGAGGCCUUUGCCGUGCCCGAGAAGGCUCUGGAGCAGACGCGCCUCACGCUGGGCAUCAACCUCACCAGUAUCACCACCGCCGCUGCCCUCCGCAGCCCGGCCAAUAGCUCACCCGGUAACACCCUCCUUAACGUGGCCACCGCCACUGGGGCACCGGUCGCUGCCACCGCCUUCCUAUCAGGGACGGGGCACGACAGCCGGGGGUUUGACGAUUCGCUGGAAAUGCACUUUGACUGUUGAGUGUCCGCCCCCACCCCAACCUACACGGUCGUCACACACACGCAGCGGCGCCAGGACGUUUAUUGUCUUGGCUCGGGUCAGGUCGCUUUCAGCAUCAUCGUCAGUCAUUUCUAGAGGUUUUUCUACAUGAAUCCAUCGGGAACAUUUUAGGAUCUAUUUUUUACAUGAAAACAAAAAUGAAACGCGCUUCACUGGCCUUUGACAUGGCUGUGAGACAGGAAGUUAAAAAGACGUGAUAAAAACGUGACGUAAAAAACCUCCACCAGCUUCAUGUGACUUUUUACUUUUGAUGAUUUGCGUUUGGCCAGCCCCCACCAUUUGGUCAACUUGCUGCUAAAAAGACUAGAAGAGACUCGCCAGUUUGUUUGCAUUAAUAAGUACAUCCACCACACUUGACUAUUUAUUGGAGCGAUCCCUCGGUGCCACUGCAGCCCUGUCUUAGCAUUAGCGUGUACCAUUCUCCCACCCCCAAACCAGGGCAUUUACAGACAUGUAAUAUAACUGUAUCAUAUUUCCACAAAAGAAAGAAAAUCAAACAGUUUAAAUGACUUCUUUUUUUCUCCUCACGGUACACUUCUUCAAGUGGUCACUAGAUGGCAGCACGACGCAUGUGAACGCUUGAAACAACCAAGACGUUAGCUACUAGAGCAUCUCAAUAAGUUAGAAUAUGGUGCAAAAUACGUUUCAUUUCAGGAGGUCAGUUCAGACUAAUAGACCAAUUAAAGGCUCAGGAAGUUUUUGCAGCUUUGACAAUUUUUCUUGUUUUAUGAUGUACUGAAUUUGGGGUUUUUUAUUCGCUGAAAACGUUGAUCAUUGAUAUUAUUAAGAACUACAUUCUUUAAAGAUUUCACUUUGGGUAGUGAGUCGAGAGUAGAAAUGAAGAAUUACUUUGAGAUGCCCUAGUAAAUUAAGAACUGUUACUUGACACAAAAAGUAUUUCACAGUAAUUUGUACAUACAUUUAUUUCACACAUUUACAGAUAAAACCUAUUUACAUUCACAUGUGAUUUACAACUUCGUAGCCAUGUUUUAUACAUUAAAAUGUAAUUAUCAAAAUUGAUUGAUCUAAACCAUUUAAAAACAAUGCUGCAUUCAUGAUCGUGGGAUGUUUGGCUGUCGGGACCACUUAGCUCCAGUUAUAAAAUUGAACAGUUAUAACAUUGUGUCCCCACCCACAUUUCGAGUUGGGCUAUUUCGCUAAGGACGUUCAUAUUUACACCCAGUUUCUGAUGGACAAUAGAUGACCAAAAAGUUAGAAUCUUUACAUAGAUUAAUGGACUGUUUAAGUGCCUGAGAAAUAUUGUAGGAUUUACAAAAAGUACGUUAGUGAUUGUCAAAUAGCAAAAUCUAACUUUAGUUAAAGCUUGUCACCUUUGAACGCUGCUUCAUAAGGUGUAGCGUUUGUUGCUGUGGAUGGGAGCCCACUAGUGGCUGCGCUGGGUAGUGCAGGAGUGUUGCACCAAUCAUACCUGUGCCAUUGCGUCCCCGUGCGUCAGCAUUCGCCAAGUGUUGACUUUACAGGUUCCGUUAAAAGCCCGACAGCGCCCCCUCUGUGGUCCUUGGGUGUCUUAGCUGAUAGAAACGCCCCGAAGAAGCUGCUUUUCUCAUCCAUGUCCACAGCAGAGGUGUUGGUCACUGACAAAGAGGCGGUCCCCGGGGCUGAGCAGGAAAAGGUCCCUCUGGUGGGCUGAGUGCAGUGAGAAUUGGGAUUCCCGGGAACAGCAGGAGGUGCAGCUCGUCUUCAUCAGCAGGAUGGGAAGAGGGUAGGUGCUCACCUGAGGGAGACAUUGUUCACAAGUCAACAUGUGGGCAAAAAGGGCAGGACAGCACCCUCACCUUUUUAUAGAUGUACACUGGGUUCUCUACUUACGAACAUCCGACUUGCGAGCAUUCGGAGAUACGAACACAAGCUCACUGGUCUAUAUUUUCAUGUAUUUUGCCAUGUAGUAACUCCAUAUUUAUACUGCUACAUGCUUGACCAGUAGAGGGCACUGUGACACUGCUAAUGGGACCAACAGGUAGAGGAAGACGGUGGGGAGAGAGUGUAAAGGAGAAAUGCAAAGCUAAAUUGUAGCUCUAUGAUGCAACCCAGACAGAGCGUGUGAUUAAAGUUUAUGAAGAGCUAAUAGGCCUGCUUAAUUCUACACCACCCACAGAACACUACCUCUUUUAGAAGAGUCUACGACGCUGACGAUUUGUCCUUUUUUCAAUAACUCCUCCACCACUACCACAACGACGUAUGCUCAACAACUCCUCUUCAAAGGUAAAUAACAUUUAUCAUUACGUAUUAUGUCAUUUUUAUAAUUAUUGUUUUUUUCACUAAUUAUCCUUGUUUAAUAUUACUACUGCAUCCAAACUCAUAUUUACAUACAUACACAUGUAUGUAUGUAAAUAUGUAUAGACGUACAUGUAGUACCUAUAUCAUUGGUAAAUUACCUUUUGUUCGACUUGCGAACGGUCGUCUGGAACCAAUUGUGUUCGUAAGUUGGGGACCUAGUGUACUGCAGCAGAGGUCUUCCCGUGUUCCCCACCGUUUCAUCCUCCUCCAAAGAGUCGACCUCCAAGGAGUUGGUGUGUCUGAAGUACGUCUGGGCGUAGACGUAAUAGAGGCCGGGACGUGGCACCACAAGCUCGCCAUCCACCAGCUGGACGUCCUGGAGGAAGGCCAGCCCCUUUUGGCCCUCCACCACGUGAUCUUCUGUCCGUGAACUCGCCUGCCGCCGGUCACUGCAGCUGAGGAGAGACGUCAACACGAAUACAAGAACCGCCCUCGGAGCGGAGCCCGUCAUAGCAGACAGCGCGCCGCUCGCUCGGGAGGACGCGGCAGACCACACAGACCACACGCCGACGUCCCGGAGAGGAACAACAAUUGCAGAGCAGCGACUCUGGACUAUAGAACCUCCCAGCACUGGAAGGAGAGGGGGCGGGGCUUGGAAAGUGUGCCGCGCAAACAUGAAAGUUUUCUGUCACUUCUUCGUCUUGCAUCCAAAGUUCCUCAGACACAACAAUCAACGAGGGCCAGUUCCCUGAAGCACACAUCACAAGGCACACUUUAUGUGCACACAUUGUUUGGAUUUUAGGUUGUAAAACAAGAGUUCUGUACAAUUUAGAACACUCGUCUUGGUAGGGUACCUGAAGUGGGCGGAGUUAGACAGUGCAGUGCCUUGAUUGGUGGACGGAGAAGGGUCACUUCCGUGAAGACUUACAUAUGCCGUCUAAUUAACGUGCAACAUUCAAAUCUACAAGUGUGAGCUUUUACUGAACCACACCAAGUAUGUUUUUUUUUUUUUUUUUUUUUUUUUUAAAACAAGUACAUGCAGCCGGACGUCCAAUGUUUCCAUCUGCCUUACCUGGGUUUUGAACCCAAAUCCCCUGCUUCAUGAACCUGUGAUGUUACCAGCUGAGUUAGCCAGCUGGCAAGCUUGUGUGAUGUUGUAUCAGUGGUGAUGAUGACCAUACAUGCUGGACCUGGAGAAGUAGCAAGGAAACCAUUUGUUUUUUUCUACGCAAGACAAGUAAAAGUAGCUGGAUGCCCAAUGUUACCAUCUGCCCUGACUGGGUUUGGAACCCCUAACAGCUGCACCAUGAAACUGCAUGCUGACGGUGGAGUUAGCCAGCUGGCAAGCAUGCAUGAUAUUGUAUCGGUGGUGAUGAUGGCGAUAGUUGCUGGACACUUGCUAGCAUGGAAGCCAUUUGUCUUUUUUUAGACAAAACAAGUACAAGACGCUGGAAGCCCAAUGUUACCAAUACCAAGGAAGCCAUUCAAAACAAUAACCAGGAGCACUGCUCUGGUUUCACACCCCAGACCUCUUGCACCAUGACCAAGCGGUGUUGUCAGCAGAGUCGUCCGAAUGCCAAACAUGUUUGAUAUUGUUGUGGGGGUAUUGAUGAUGAUAGAUGGAGCGAAAUUACAAAAGGACCAGGCAGUAGUUGAAUGUGACUCCUUGCCCUGAGCAGUACUUGACCUCCUGCUUCCUCUCACCACCACCUAGUGGUGCUAUCAGUAGAGAUAUCCAGGCAGGAACACACUGCCUUACUCACACAAACAUAACAAACCACGUAUGGCUUGGAGGUUCAUUGUGUCAUGCGGCAAAACCAAUCGUCACAACUACUGAAAAAGAAAUGUUAAAAUUCCAUAGUAAAAUAAACAUUUAGGUCAUAAAGGAGUUCAAUCAAAUGCUGUUCUUGUGUUUGAGCUUUUUCACAUUCUGUGCCAGUUUAAAAAUAUGCAUUAAUAAUUCAGCGUGCACGGACCACCCUAACAUGGUCACAUUUAGGCCCUUCAAUACUUGAUGUCAUUUAAAUUCAUGUCAAUGCAAAUACUCAGUCAAUAUGUACAUACUAUGUACUGUACAUACUGUAUGUAAUGUGUGUACUACCGAGUGCCUACACUCUUAACGCUAAAUGUUUGGAGUUGGCCGAAGCCUCGCCGAUGGAAGCUAGUUACUAAGUUAGUUCCUGGUACUACAGUAGGUGUAUUGGUGACAAUGUAUUCAAUGAUAUUUCUCCAGGUCCAGCACGAAUCACCAUGGCUCUCUCAUCAUGUCUCAGUGGUGUAGUUCAAGUGGUAAACGCUACUAGUGAACGGUGUAAGCAGACUGGCUUCGAAGCCUGGUCAAAGCGACUGGUGGUUGUUGGCUGUUUUGUCUGGAAACAGACCAACCAAAUGGCUUCCUGACUACUUCCUUGGUAUUUCUCCAUCUAUCGCCGUCAUCACCACCAAUACAAUACUAUGUUACUUCACCAGGUGGCAGCAACACUGUGUGGUGGUGCAAGGAGACAAGUAAAUCAUCACCCCCACAACAACAUCAAGCACUGUUGCUAGUUGGGUGGCUCUGCUGAUAGUACCACAGGUUCAUGGUGCACGGGGACUGGGGUUUAGAACCUGGUCAGACCAACUUGUAAUUGUUGAUCCUUUUGUCUGGAAACAGACCAACAGAUGGCUUCCUUGGUAUUGUGCCAUCUAUGGUCAUCAUCACCACCAUCAUAACUUCAUACACGUUCACCAGCUGGCUCACGCCGCUGUUAGCACCGCAGGUUUAUGGUGCCAGUGGACCGGGAUUCAAAACCUGGUCAGGGCCAGCAGUAACAUACUCCAUCCAACUACUUGCUGGUCAUUUUCUGUAGAAAAAGACAACCCAAUGGCUUCCUUAUUUCUGUCAUCAUCAGCACCCCCACAACAAUACCCUGUGUGUUUGCCAGUUGGAUGGCUCUGCUGAUAGCACAACUGGUUUAUGGUGCAUGAGGACUGGGGUUCAAAACCUGGUCUAUCCAACUGGUACCGCCAUCCUUUUGAUGUGAAACAGAUUGCUUCCCUACUUCCAGCACGUAUCACCAUACCAUGACUACAAUAUCAUGCAUGUUCGCCAGCUGGUUAGCUCCACUGGUAGCACUGCAGAUUCACGCUGCAGGAGAUCAGUGUUUAAAACCUGGACAAGGCAGGUGGUAGCAUUAGCAUUUUUCUAAAAACAAAUGGCUUGCCCUGCUUUCUCCAGGUCCAGAACGUGUUGCAGUCAUCACUACCGAUACAACAUCAAACAUCUUCACCAGCUGUCUAACUCAGUUGGUAGCACUGCAGGCUAUGGUGUGGGGGAUUCUGGUUCAAAUCCUGGUCAGCAUUUUCUGCCUAACAUGUAAUAGGAAGUUGCUUAGUCAAUCUGUUUUGUAGAAAUUUCUCCAGGCCAGCACGUAUUGCAGUCGUCACUACCGAUACAAUAUCACGAACAUUUGCCAGCCGGCUAACUCAGUUGGUAGCACCAAAGGUUACGGUGCAGGGGAUCUGGGUCCAAAUCCCGGUCAAGUCCGAAUAACUUGUGAUAGGGAGUUGCUUUCCCAGUGGGCGAUCGAUGUGGCACAAUAUAAGUAGGGACACCCCCUCAGCAUUAAUUAUGGUAAGUAUCAACACACGAAGACCCGCCUCCAGGAUGAUCUGCUGCUACCAGGGAAAGAUUAAGUGCCUCAGAGAUCUGUCCAGCUGGGUGGAGUCAACAUAAAA
Dunckerocampus dactyliophorus (ringed pipefish) is the source of this 14463-nucleotide RNA transcript. It is a transcript of the gene named E3 ubiquitin-protein ligase MSL2-like, with no coding region annotated. Lineage: Eukaryota; Metazoa; Chordata; Actinopteri; Syngnathiformes; Syngnathidae. The transcript is spliced from 5 exons. The record is from RefSeq and is a predicted model, not a curated record.